CAGGUGGUUCUUGAUGAGCUGAAGCUGCCAGUCAGACCAUGCAAACCCACUCCCACAGUCCAACCUGCACACAGGCCAGUGGAUCUGUUCCAGUGACCGCUCCACCAUAGUCUCGUUAACCAUCUGCAGAUGGUUAAACUUCUCUCACCAAUUUUUCAAAUUCAUCUGAACCAGAGGAGCAGUGAUGGAUGAGGAAAGCUUUGCUGUGAGAAAUAAGGAAAGCGGAUUUGGAUUCUCUCCUUUGAAAGGAAUGUGAUUUAUACCUAAAUUUUUCAACUGUCUUUUUCUCUCUGUGACAGUGCAAACAUUUCCUCAUUCCUGAGUUAUCAAAGGAGUACUGGUUUACCUUUGAGCUGUCCCACCUGGGUCAUGAAUAAGGUGGCGCCCUGUUCUCGUUGGUCCUUCCACACACCUGCGGCUGGUUGGCUCAUUACGGAGGACUAUUUGAGCGAUGGACUGUCACUACCUCAAUGCCAGAGUGUUUGCCAGUUUUGGGAAGCCUUCCUGCAAGCUGGAUGUUUGGCCUUCUUCCCCUGGAAGGAUUGUUUGAGUCUCACACUGAGCAGGGGAUUAACCUCCACAAGUUCCGUUCAAGUCCUCCUGGAUUUCCUAGUGACAGUCUGCUCAAUAGCUCCUCAGGUCUCUACCUCUAGAUAAACCUACACGUACUGGAUUCUGGGAAGAAAGUCUUCUC
Long non-coding RNA from Cyprinodon tularosa, 694 nucleotides. RefSeq lists it as uncharacterized. The transcript has 3 exons. The record is from RefSeq and is a predicted model, not a curated record. Lineage: Eukaryota; Metazoa; Chordata; Actinopteri; Cyprinodontiformes; Cyprinodontidae.